CUAUAUGGAUCGCUGAGUCCGAUUUUAUAUCGGAGCGGGGGAACCAACCGUGGCAAGUGUGCCACAUGGGGUGAAUCCAGUUCGGGGCGUUUGUUCUGAACUGGUAGGGUGACUCUCAUCACCCGAAUCCGUCAGCUAACCUCGUAAGCGUGUUGAGAGAGGGGGG
This 166-nucleotide small RNA is filed under the name Geobacillus sp. Its description in RNAcentral is "c-di-AMP sequence". It matches the Rfam family "c-di-AMP riboswitch aptamer (ydaO/yuaA leader)". Rfam says of the family: This family represents a conserved RNA structure found upstream of the ydaO and yuaA genes in Bacillus subtilis and related genes in other bacteria. Lineage: Bacteria; Bacillati; Bacillota; Bacilli; Caryophanales; Anoxybacillaceae. The record is from RNAcentral.